CCUACGGGAGGCAGCAGUAGGGAAUCUUUCACAAUGGGCGAAAGCCUGAUGGAGCAACGCCGCGUGCAGGAUGAAGGCCUUCGGGUUGUAAACUGCUUUUAUAAGCGAGAAAUAUGAUGGUAACUUAUGAAUAAGGAUCGGCUAACUACGUGCCAGCAGCCGCGGUCAUACGUAGGAUCCGAGCAUUAUCCGGAGUGACUGGGUGUAAAGAGUUGCGUAGGUGGCAUAAUAAGUAGCUAGUGAAAUCUGGUGGCUCAACCAUUCAGACUAUUAGCUAAACUGUUAAGCUCGAGAGCGUUAGAGGUAACUGGAAUUUCUAGUGUAGGAGUGAAAUCCGUAGAUAUUAGGAGGAACACCAAUAGCGUAGGCAGGUUACUGGGACGGUUCUGACGCUAAGGCACGAAAGCGUAGGGAGCAAACGGGAUUAGAUACCCGUGUAGUC
This 442-nucleotide ribosomal RNA is filed under the name uncultured bacterium. RNAcentral's name for it is "partial 16S ribosomal RNA". It matches the Rfam family "Bacterial small subunit ribosomal RNA", at positions 338 to 795 of the family's 1533-position model. The record is from RNAcentral.